GUGUGCUCUUCAGAUCUGCCUAUUCAUUUUUCUUCUAAUUAACAGAAUACAUAAAGCAAAAUGGAAGCUUGUGUUAUUAUUUAGUAUGAAAACAUGAAACCUAAUCAUAGCUAAUGAGUAUAAUAAACGCCGGCUGUACCUCCUCUUGUUUGUGUGUGUUUUACAUACAGAAGGUAGCACAGGCUGGGGAACCAGGACGCCAGGCUACAGGUGGGCUUGCGAAAUGCUGUUUGACAGCCGGUUAGAGCAAUCUGUCAGAAAUGAUGACUUAAUCACCAUAACAGACUCCAACUCCCCUUGUAGCAUUCCACCCAGAGUAAUCUAAUUUUCCUGCGGUAUUUUAUUU
This is a non-coding RNA of Vicugna pacos (alpaca), 346 nucleotides long. The record is from RefSeq and is a predicted model, not a curated record. NCBI's taxonomy places the organism in Eukaryota, Metazoa, Chordata, Mammalia, Artiodactyla, Camelidae.